This is a long non-coding RNA of Alligator sinensis (Chinese alligator), 396 nucleotides long. RefSeq lists it as uncharacterized. The transcript is spliced from 3 exons. Lineage: Eukaryota; Metazoa; Chordata; Crocodylia; Alligatoridae. The record is from RefSeq and is a predicted model, not a curated record.
UGCCUCCAGGGGCUGCUUUGCUUCUGUUGGGUGGGCAGGUCACUGCUUGCUUGCUGAGCUCCUGAGAUGGGAAGUGGAGGAGGUAGGCCAAGCGAUGGGGGGCAGAUCGUCCUAGGAGAGCCAUGCCCACAAGAGGAGACUCAGAUUACCCCCGAUGUCUCAGGAAUUCAGCUUACUGCACACUGAUUAAUGAAACGGCGCACUGUUCUUAGGAGAUCUGAGGCUGCGGCAACUGGUGUAGAAGGGAAUGGGAAGUAUGGCCUCAGGGAUGGAGUUCUCCCUGCAUUGUUAUCUGCAGUAUUACUUUCUUGGAGCCAUAGAGGUGUACGGUGCUUUACAGAAUGAAUGAUGGUUCCCCACCUGAGAGAACAUACCAUCUAGAGGUGAGAAAAGAAG